Bombus terrestris (buff-tailed bumblebee) is the source of this 13476-nucleotide RNA transcript. It is a transcript of the gene named neuropeptide CCHamide-1 receptor, with no coding region annotated. The transcript is spliced from 4 exons. NCBI's taxonomy places the organism in Eukaryota, Metazoa, Arthropoda, Insecta, Hymenoptera, Apidae. The record is from RefSeq and is a predicted model, not a curated record.
GAUAAUAAUUAUUAACAGCUAUAAAAUAAGAAGCGAAAAUACGUUGAAACUCGACUUCUAGAUUCGCGAGACUUUGCAGAGCUUCGAAACUCUCGUGUUUCAAACCUAAUAAAAAGUUGUAGAGGGAGAAUUACAUUGCGAGAUCUGUUAAGGAAUAUCGUAUCCUUGUAAUAGGAUUAUUUCAGCGAGGGAAAUUCCGUGUUGCGUGUAACGCGUUGCAAAGCCAUGAGCUUUCUUUCGGGUUAAUAUACAUAACCGCCUUAUUGAACUUUCCAUCUCACACGUGCAUUUUGCGAUGUAAUUAUCAACACGAGGAGGGUGAUGUAAACUCCCUAGAGUUCAUGUAGGAUAGGGAUUCUUUUCGUUUUACGGGUAGCACGACAGGCUGUGUUUCAUUGUCAGAACGAUCUUCCUUUGUUUUACGGACGGCCAUUUGAAGAAACACGUUCUUCCCAAACGAACGGACAGAGAGUUACAUUAGAGACAGAUAAGGUUUCAGAAUAGUUAUUUAAGAUUUUAAAGACUGAAGAUUUAAGAUUUAAAGACGGAAGGAGAAAUAUUGGUAGCUAAGGACGUUGAAAAUCGAUUCUCGAUUUUCAGACUUUAGAAUCGAUCCCUGAAUUAUCCAAUUAUUGAACCUUAUAAAUCUACUUUCCCUACGCCAUCUUGCUGAAAGUUAACCUACGCGUCGUCAUGAACGAGAACGCGAAACAGUAGAAGAUAGAGAAGAUAUAGAAUCUAUCAGAAGACCAGAAGACGAAAUAUUCUGUAUUUUCCCCCCGGAAUAUCAAGAAGAAAAGUACCAUCAACAAUUAUUCAGUUUACCAAUAGUGAAGAAGGUCGCAAACAGUCUAACCAAGGUAGGCCAAUGUAGAAAUAUUAAACUCACAAUAGAUGACGAGACAGCAACAUUGUAUAUCAAUACGGAUUCAAGCUUCGCAUUCUGAGACAUUGUCUUAGAGGAACCAGAAAUAACUUGCAGAAGAAAAACAAAGACGGAAAUUGACAUGGUAAAACUUCUAGAGACUCUCAGAAAAUGAGAUAAGAGGGAAAUAGAGGAAAUAAACUUCAAUAUAGAACAAUUUGAAGGAACUCGAAAAGCCACAGACUGGAUAUCGGAGCAUGAAGAGGAAUGCAAAAGAUACAAAAUAAAAGGUAAUGAGGAAAAAGUCAAAGGUUUAAGAAAGUAUCUAGGAAAAACAGCAGAAAGAUGGUACCAAAGGAAUCUGCUGAAAGCUGAAGGACACAACUGGGGAGAUUGGAGGAAGCAUUUCUCAAAACUUUUAAUCCUUUGAGUGCUGUGGGCCCAUAUAGGUGUCUGGUGAAAGCUAUCAGUAAGGACUAAGGAUAUAUAUACUUGUUUUCUGUAAGUGACUGGCAUGGACUAAGGACACAUGUAUAGGUUUCUCAAUUGUUCCAAACACCUACGUAGAAGUAAUACUAUUACAUUUGUGUGAAAUAAAUAUAAAUGCAUUCCUUACGGCAUUAAAAAAAAUGCCAAAAGUGUCUCCUUAUUGUUGAAGUGAUCACCACUUGUAAGAAAACUCUACAUAUGGUUUUGUUAGUUUUCUCAAGCACUGAGAUUUUCACAUACAAUUAAAUUAUUAACUUGUGUUCUAUUUACUAAAUUUAGUUUUCUAGUUUAUUACCCAAAUUCUAGUUAAUUGUAAAUUUCAAUGUUUAUAAUAAAUAAUUAAAAAUAAUUAAAAAAUUUCUUCAAUCAUUUAAUAUCGCGCAAAAGAAUUGCUAUAACUUAUAACGAUUUGUGCUUUGAAUAGUCAAUCAAUAGAGUUCAAUCUACCGAAAAAUUAUUUCGUCCAUAGCGAUCGUCAGCGCUAGAUACGCGCCGUAAGUACGGACGGCAUAGGCCGCGAGUAUUCAGCACUCAAAGGUUAAGAGUAAAGGUUGGUCGGUAAUACGAUAUGCUUACAAUUUUAUAUACCUUUCAGGUUCGUUCAUAGAAUAUGCAAUAGAGAAAGGACGACUAAUAUUGGAAGUAAAAGAAGUAAAAAGAAGAAUGCCUGAAGAUGUGAGGGUGCACCUGAUUGUCAUUGGAUUACCUAUCGAAAUCCAAGAUAAAAUCGAAAGAGAAAGUAUACAGUCAACAAAUAACCUAAUGGGAAUUUUGGGACAAUAUGAAGAUUGGAGAAACUGAUUUCAUAAAAAUUAUCCGUGCAGAUCGAUACCCAGUAGUGUCAUCCAAAGAAAUUCGAGUAUGCGAGAAAGAAGAAAAUUAAAUUAAUUUUCACCUCUACUGACUGUCCAUCCUCCAAUGGACUAAACGAGAGGGUAAAUCAGACAUUAGUAAACAGCAUCAGAUGUAAGAUCAAUUAGAAAAAAAAAGAGAAACUGGACAAAAAUCGCAGAAGAAAGCGUAGAAGAGUACAAUAACACCAGAGUGUAAUGGGAUUUGCCCCAAAUCAUUUACUGUAUGGAAAAAUAAUUGAAAUCCUCUCUAAGGGAAUAAUGGAGAAUAUGAAGAAUACUUGUCGAGUGUCACCACAGUGAUAUAGUCUUCACCCACAAUGGAAACAAAGUGAAUAGAAAUAAGCUGGAAGAAAUUAGGAAAGGACCUCUCAAAAUUCUAAGAAGGAUUUCAAACUUCAUAUAUGAAGUGGAUAACGGUAAUCGGAGAUCUGAUGGGAAUUUCUUCCACUCAAGUAAGCUGAUCCCUUAUAGAGAAGAUAAUUAACGAUGAACGUGUGCUGAUAUUUGAUCGUCAUCAAGGAAGCCGUGCUUUGCUGUAAUAUUAAUGAAUCAGCGUAUAUUUAUACUUGGGUAGAUAUUAAAUGAAGAUAAUAUAUAGGAUAAAAUGGAAGAUAAUACUUCAACAGAUAUCACAGAAAUAUAGUAGAAAUAUAGUACGAUAAUUAUGGUAAUAUGGACAUGAUAUAAUGGCUGAAUGGAUUUAAUAUGAUUCUUUUAAUUAAUCGUGACGCUAGGUUUAUCUCUGCAUCGAAUAAUCAAUAGGAACGUGGAUAUGAGGGUAAGGAAAUUAAAAUGGUGCGAGACAAGCGGUAUGUAACUUUAUAAAAUUAAAUCUGCUAAGGAAAAUGUGCAAUUUAACAGAUAAAAUAAUUUAUAAUACACGCAACAUGUUUAUAAAAUUUUUUUUAUGAGACGUAUUCAGAUACAAUACUUUCGUAAGCCCCUGUUUAUUUGACAAGGUCUAUAGCGUAUUCACCGUUCUACUCUUUUUGCUAGAUGCUGAGGGUACUCGAUAAUCGAGUGACUUUCGUGACUUUGAGUGAUUUCACUCAACGUCCAACGAACAGCUCGAAGCCGAAUACCAGGAAUAGUAAGAAAGUAUUUACCAAUCAUUUUAAAAUCCUGGAUAAAUCACGUACAUUUGUUAAAGAUAAACAAAAGAACAGAAUUAAAUAUUCCAGAGCUACAAGAGACUCCGCCCCUUUUUUUUCUUAACAAGCUCUUUACUAUUCGUCAUGAGAAUUUAACAGCAACAAUUUGUGUCUCGCGUGACUUACAAAAUUUUAGUAAUAAGAUCCAACUGUAUAAGAGAGCUCUGGAAUAAUUUAUUUCGGGUUUAUUUGCAUCUUAUUUAAAGGGACAAAGUCCAAAGAGGGACUGAUACUCUCUUUUUUUCCAGUUUCUUCUACACAGAAAGGAGGAGCAAGCUUACCCUUUGUACAAUAAAUAGAAGGAGCUACAUACGUUUUUAAUCGCGAAGAUCGCGGUAAACUUACGAAAUUUGGAAACGUCAAGGGUAUCGUAAGGUUUCUGUGAAUCCUUUUUAUGGAUUCCCGUGAGUCUCGAUUUACUGCCGCUUUUCGUAUUUCUUGUGCGUAUUAAAGGACCUUGCACGACGCAAUCUCAGCGGAAAAUCUUAGCAAUAAAACGUCCAGCUGUUAACCAUAACUGGCAUUGAAAAAUUUGGAAAUGUCGUAAAAGUCCAGAUUGUCGAAGUAACACGUACACGUUGUUCAAGUAACAUCGUAAAAAGCAAUUUAGAGGAGACAAUUAUUAUAAUAGAAUUUCUCGAAUAAUUAGUAUGACGUGUGCCAUGUGAAUAGUCGUGUUUGAUGUGGUAUUAUUAGUUUCCCAUCAAAUUUAACUGUUCUUUUGGCAAUCUACGUAAGAGAUUCAAAGCAAACAAAUCCAUCGACUGUAAGUAUUUAUUAAACAUUUCUAAACUCAAAAUAAAAGAGAGAGAGAGAGAGAGAGAGAGAGAGAAAGAGAGACAGUAAUGACUCGCCACUUUUUAUUUUGUUAAUCUAAAAUAAAUUUAUUCAGCAGUUUACCAAGGCCCUAGUUUGAUGCAAAUGAGAAACGGUAAGUGUUAGCAACACCAUUUCCAAGAAACUUGAGGUACUAUGUCAAACUUAGUUGACACGAGAAGCAACCACUGUACGCUUAACUGACGGUCACGGAAUACAUUACUUCUUGAUACAAUCUUCCUGCUUGAUUUCCCUUUACCUUUGAUUUUCUCCUACCUCUGGAAACCACUUUGGUAUUUAAUAUUAACAUAGUUCUUUAGAUGGAACAACUAGCUCUCUCGAUAAACUUAAAUAUAAAUAGAGAACUUUGUUACGAAUUUAAUUUUAGAACAAUUAGUGGAAUGUUUGUUAAUCUGCAUUCAAAGUGAAUAAAAUUCGCGUUAUGGAAUUAUUCCUUUCAUAAAUAAGCGAGUGGCUGCCGAUUCAGAUAAAUUGAAAAAUUAGUUGCGAAGAAGUAGAAAAUGUUUUUUUAUUCCCGUAGUUUUCUUACGCCAGGCGAAUUAAAAUUAACAGAGUUUUCUUAUCAUGCAGAUUUCUGCAUGUUCAUCUAAUAAACUGGAAAUUUGCCGCAAGCGGCAAGCCACGCCAAUUCGCCGAAACUCUUAUCGAACAAAAUAACUAGAAACUUCUUCCCUCGCUCUAUUUUCCAUACAUGCGCUAGUUUCUCUAUACAUAUUCGUUUUUCCAUUUUUGUUGCAAACGCUUCUUCGCUUCAAUGAUCAUAGGUUGAUAAAUCAAAGGCUUUAUUCGAACUUAUUCCAGUCGAAUUUUUUCCUUAGUUUUAAUCAAAAUUCCCUUCCAUCCGUAUUAAUUUUGUCACGUAUAAGCAGCUGAGUUUAAUUUCGCUCUUCGUGCACGAACUACAAUUCGUGAAAUACAAUUUAUAUGACCAUCAACUCGACGGUCCACAUUUACACGAAUUUUUUCGACCGUAUUUUAAAUGCCAUGAAAUAUCGGACCUAGGCAGAAUAUAAUUUCUAUCAAAUUAUUCGCGUACAUUGCAAUAUUAUUCGCUGUAUUUCUUUGCACACUAUACGUAGUAUCGGGUAAAAUACGAUGGUUCAUGAAAGUGUUCGGAGAAUUAUCAAACCACUUGUACGUGUGUCGUAUAAAACAUUUCGAAACUUUAUUAGCAUUGUAAUGAGACUGUAAUAUUUGAAAAAUUUUAAAUGAAUAUGAAAUCUACUCGCAAUCGUUUUGAGGGGUAGUUUCAUGCAUAUGAAUUUUCUGUUUGAAGAAACAAAGGAUGAUGUCUAAUAUAACGAAAAACGACUGUUCAAAUACGUCGGUGCCUUUUAUGAAGCUCGUAAUCCCUUGCUCGUAAACAUUUUCAGAUUUCUGUCAAAUUUUCCCAAUAUAAUCGCCAGUCUUUCUUUUGAUAUAGGGUUAAUCAAGUUUUAACAUGUUUCGUGCAACACACAUACUAUAUUGAGGAAACUCGUUAAUGGAUAAUUUACAGAAGAAUAUUGUCUCGAAAGCGCGAUGCAAAGAAAAGACAGUGGUUCGACGAUAAUUCAAUACGAAUUACUCGUGAAAAUGGAUACACGUUGUUAAUUUAAAACGACGUUAACAACAUCGUGAUCACACAUUGUCGGACCCAAGGCAUUAAUGUUUAAAAUUAGAAAACCACUUGCAAGUCUGGCUAUAUAUUCGCGUGUUAGAACACUCUGGCCGAGCAAAAAAUGUUUGCCUAUCAAUUAUUCGCCACUUCUUCUGCUGCACGUAUUUGCGUACAUAUAUGUUGCGCUCUAUUUUUUUACCCCGCAUGACAAAAUCUUUUUCGUAUGGUCCAUGAAAAAUCACACUUUUUGUGAACUCAUAAUUGGCAGAUUUCUCGGUCAAGUUGAUCCACAAACACAUAUUUCUUAAAGAUACGUAUACAACAAUUAAAUGUAAACGGAGAUUUGUUUCAUCUUCAGAACACCAUAAAUCAUCUUAAUCUCAAAAUUAUCAUAAAUAUUGGAAAGAAUACUCUACUUUAGUUAUAUCACAUAUUUUUCAAUAUUUGUCUGCAUUUUUGUAUCUUUAAAUUUUUCACAAGUUCGAUGAUUCGUCAUAAACGAAAUAUUUAAUUGUCCUUUUGUAUCCUUCGAUUAUCAAAUUAUUUUCAAUAUUCCGCACUACUUUUUAUUCUAUAUAUUAAUUAUCGUCAAAUCUAAAAGUCUAUCUAAAAAUCUAUCGUCGAGAAUUAUCUCGUAGUUUUUAUUUCGGACCGAUUUUCCGUUAAAAAUUAUUAAAGUAACUCCUCUGUAAGCUGCAAAUGUGCUUGCAAUUAUUUCUAAUGAUAUCAGAAUUUUACGAACGCUUUCGUAUUUGGUCAUCUUGUAAAAUAAAGUCGAACGGACUUAACUCGAUGUGUUCUGUUUAUCGGUAACUCGAUUCGUAAGAGAUUUCGUAAAUAAUACCUUUUGCUCUGUCCUCCUCUUUCCACCGGUGUAGGACUUUGGUCUUCGUAGAUCCGCUCCGCUUAAAUUCGCCGCGUUUCACACGCGUUCAGUUCUGGCAAGUUCACUCGUUACGUUGUCGCAACCCGGUGCUUCGUCGUUUCACGUUCCUUAGACGUUCAAGUCGACGAGAUACUCUUCUUUGGCUUUCAAACAAGAAUCUAUGGAACUAGAAUAUAAGAAAUUAAAAUGAAAAUCAGCCGGCCGUAAAGAAAUUCAGAUUUCCAUGAAAAAAUUCGAAUUUGUUUCUUUAUUUUUACCACUGUGAUAAAAUGGUGGAGAUUAGAAGGAAAUCACUUAGCCGAAAUGUAGAAUAUGAAAUGUCAAAGCUUAUUAAUCUACGUAUUACUUUUCUAACGUUUCUAUCUAUUAUCGUGAUUGCUAUCGUACGUCUAAUACUUUUUAUUAUUAUUACAGGUAAUUAUUACUACAGAUAACUUUUUCAAAUAGGAUGUUUAGAGUAGGUCGUAAUCAUUUAUUGUUACAAGGAGAAAAUCCACCGAUGGAUUCACUUCGAGAUUUCAAUUCGUCGAAAUCGACAGCGCGCCGUAAACUGAAGCGGAACUGGGAUUCGUUGAGGAUCCACGGCUCCCUCGACGCAGUCGCAAAACACGAUGCAUCGUUUUGUCUACUCUUUCUCCUCUUUCGACGCCUGACAUUGGCUGAAGGGCGCGCCCCCUCGAACCACCCGUUUUUUUUUUCAAAUCGUAAUCAAAAACACACCUAUUCGAUCUAGGAAGAAUGUUCACGUUAAUCUAUUUCUCUGUUCAACCUUUUUCUACCAUAUACUACAAUCAACCACCCAAUAUUCCAAUUGUAUUUUUGUCAAAUCAAAUUCGGUAAGCAGAUUCCGUACGACGAAUUUCCUUGUAUACUGAAUGAUGUAAUUUAAUCGGAGUUAAUUAGAAAUUCACGAUAGACAGUCACGUUGAAUUGUGGAUAAAUCAUAACUGAAAUAUCUAAUUAUACAAUCGGUUUAAUUACAUUAUCAUGGAUGCAACAUUCGUGCAAAUGAUAUAAUGAAUUAGGAGUACACAUAAACCGCGCGAGGAUAAAUAUUCCGCGCCAAUUUGGAAUCGCUGAAGAGAGCUCGCGUUCAUAAGUGGCAAUGAUUUCCCGUAGGAAUGCAUCUGUUGCAUUUGGUCGAUCUGGAUUAAAUCAAUACGACGCAACAGUAGUCAAACAGAGGCGUUAUUUAUUUUGCAUCCUCCACCGUAUUUUUCUUUCCCCAUCGUCACCGAUGGUCACUCCGGCGGAUUAGCCACGCCAGGAAUUUCUAGAAUCGACCAGAUUACGACUACGCAGCGCCGCGUUCCUUGUUGCGUUUGCGAAUCCACUUGGAAUUCAAUUAGAAUUCCUAUGGUAAGUGACAACAACCAACAGAUACACAUCGAACCGUGACGCAUACAGUUGUAGAAUUUCAAGUUCCUCGCGCCGAAACGAUUGGUUCAGAAGAAAGAAAAGCACGCUAAUUCUUCAGUCUGCAAGAUUCGAUAGUUACGAUCGCCAGUUGUACGCUGUUAUACCGUGAAUUGUGUACGAACGCGUGACGAAGAUUUCAAGCAUUUUGUGCUGAAAUAAUUGCUAAUCGUACUGCACGAAGAAAAAAGAAAUACGCAAAUUUUUUGAUAUUUGAGUUUCGAUAGUUGUGGAUGGCAAAACGUUUGUAGAUUCAAUAACACGUGGCAAGGAUUUCAAGUUUCUCCUGUCAAAACGAUUGACGACCGAACGACGACGACGACAAAACGAAGGAAGGAAACAAAAUUCCGGCUCUGAGUUUCGUUAGUCGCGAAACGUUCGUAGAUUCGUUAACAUGUGACGAAGGUUUUUAGUUUCUCGCGUAGAAAUAAUUGGCAAAUGUGCCAAAAACAUAAAACUUCGCUAAUUUUUUAGUUUUCGAAUUUCGUUGGUCGCGAUCUUGGGACGUUCGUGAACGAUUCAUUAAUAUGUAACGAGGAUUUCAAGUCUGCCACGUCGAAACGAGUAACACGAAAAAAUAAAAUUCCGCUAAUCUCUUAAUCUUCGAGUUUCGUUGGUUGCGAUCGCAAUUCAUUCGUACACGACUCGUAUUGUGGAUCGAUGGUGAGAUAGGAAAUUGCGUUAAUUUAUAUAUUUGGUUAAUUUAUGCUUUCGUUGGAAAUUUCGUAGCCUUUGCUCGCGAUUAAUCGACAAAUUACUCUAAUAUGCUUCGCUUCUAAAUUACUGUAAAAAUUUCGCCGCAUAUACCAAUGUAAUUUCGGUCUAUCGGGAGUGUCGAUCAAUUUUCCAGCGUGAAUAUAAUUCUGCAAGUGUCGAAUCAUCUACCACGCAGAAAUGGAUUCUGUCGGUAUACAGCUGCUACUGGAGGUCCGUUUGAUCGAUUACGAUAAAAAGACGGACUUUUAAUAAAAUUAUAGAGCCAGGAACAGGAUCCAUUGAAAGGAGAAGAUCUUCGUUCAACAAGCUUCGAGGUAAGCAGAGAUAUUGACUCGCCGUUGUAACAAUUAAUCCUAUUAAUUCUCGAUUUGCUCGAUGGUUCCUUUUCCUCACUGAUACUUGCGAUUUGUCCUUUGUAUCGUGUUCACAAUCGUUUCGUUAAAGUCCUGAUAAAUUUCAGUGUAUUUAAAUUCAACUUUCAACUGUUCAAUUCCAAACGAAAUAUAAACAGAAGAUUCGUGGUUUUUAUAUAUUCAACUCGUUUGAUAGAUAUUUAUUUUAUUCUUUUUAUCUCGGUUUAAAACGUUGAUGUUUUUGUCGUCGGAUUAACCAGAUCAAUUGACAGUGAUACGUAUGUUCACAGAUUCGUGUUUCGUCAUUUCCUGUUUGCCAUCUAUUUUUCCUUUUUUGUGUUCCAUUCAUUUUCUUUUCCAAUUAUAUCGUCUCUACUAAACAAGCAAACAGAAAGGGAGAGGUAGAGAGAGAGAGAGAGAAAGAGAGAGAGAGAGAGAGAUAAUUUUGUGGUAUUUUUGGAACAGUAUCUUCUUCAGGUUAUCCGAAAUUUUACCACCCUUCCUUCUGUCACCAAGUUAUGAUUGACCCUGUUCCAUCCAAACGAAUAAAAUGGGCGCCCCGCAAUCACUGUCAUCUUCAUAACCCACAUGCUUCAGCUACAAAACGAUAGUGGGUGGUCCAGAUUUGCCGCUUAUUUACCAAUCGUUAUGCCAUCCUGUUUGGUUUGGUUAAGUAGGAAGCAAAUAGGGAUACCCUAAGCGGGUUUGGCGUUUCGUUGAAAUUGCUAUAAAGGUAUACACGGUACAGUCUGGUCUCCGUGCCAACGCAAAAGGAAAAUACAGCAUGAAAGGAAAAUACAUUGGUCGAUGAAUGUCCCGAGGGAAGAGGAAUAAGACCCGUCGACGCAAAAUCUUAAUGGAUUUCGUGUCUAUCUCAAAGAAAGCUUCUAAUAAUCGAAUAUACUAAAUACCACUAACAUAAUGAGAUAUCUGAACGUGUUUCAGUGUUUAUAAAAAAAGAAAACAUUUGAUACUUUAUUUUAUGUGCUCAGCAGUUCUAAAGUAUAUAGACUUUAUAAGUAUAUAGACUAGGUAUAUAGACUAAAUAUAUAGAUUAGUAUAUAGAUAUAAAAUGUAUUUUAAUCAAAGAGUUAUUUAAAUGAACCUGCAAGCUUUUUAUUCUUUAUAAUUGCCAUAACUGCGUAUAAUAGGAUAUUACGAUACAAUUACAUUGACAUUUAGAAACCAAUAUGGAAUAAUUAAUAUAAAUUAUUAAUAAUUAUAUAUAAUGAUUAAUGGAAUUAUUAAUUGCAUAUCUGCUACUAUUUUGUAAUUACGUAUCUUCAGAUUUUCCAAUUUGCAAUAUAAAUUAAAUUCAAAAGCGAACUUGGUAUAUCCAAGCUUAAUUUUCCCCUCCGUUUAAAUUUUUUAAAUAUUUGAAAAAUUUCUAAUUAUCGAUAUCUCGUUUACACUGUACAAUUCAUUAUACUAUACGCCCAUGAAAUGAAAGGUUUGAAGUUUUCCCAAUAGAAAUAAAUGUUUGAGGAAGUAUAAUUGUAUGAAACGUUAAGGAUCGAGGAUCUAAAGAGAUCAUUUAAAUGUAUAAUUAUUUAUUGAUUCUACAAGAAACAUAGUUAGUGCUGUUUCCGAUUUUUAAUUUAUUAUUGCGUACAUUUCUGUAAAAUUCUAGUUAAUCAAAAGCGUCCAGAUACUUGUGAAUGGUAGUGUAUGUACUCUAGUAACGAAAAAAAAAAAAAAAAAGAAUAAAGGAAGCUAACAAGGAACGAGGGAAAAAUGAAUCAACGUUUAUUUUAAAUUCUGUAUGGUAACUUUUCAGUGCAGCCGCUCAAAGUUUCCCGCGAUUAAUUUACACGAUGUCGAGUUAGUAGAACUUCGCCGCUGGUUCAAAUCCAUAACUUUCGGUAUGACGGCUGUGGUUUUAUCGCACUCGACGCGACAGUAGUUUGUACGUAGCCUAUCUGUUGGAAAUUACUGAAGAGGAAUUAAAGCAAUCUUGAUGCGUGCAAUGAUUGAAACCUAUGUUAUUAUCGAAGUUAAAAUGUCUCGAUAAUAGUAUUAUGCCAUUUUUCUCUAACGCUAUGAAAAGACGCCUUGUUGUGCUUCAUAGAGGUCGCGCGUACAAAAGAGAAACUAAAAACAUAGGAGUUAAUUGAAACGAAGUAAAACUGGGAAGUGUAUCAAAGAAACCAAAAUCUCGGUAUAUUUUUAAUUAUGUUAAUUGAAGCUAAUUCUAUUAUGAGCUACGAAUGUUUAUGCAUAUUUAUAUUUUUGAUAUAAAUAAAGACAUCAAGUUUAAUUACAGUUUAAUUAAAGAUAAGAUAGCAUUUUUGCAUACUAAUAACUUAUAACAAUAAUAACUUAUAAUGUUACUAGUAAGUUUAAUUAUACAAGGAGACUUUGUAACUGCAUUACAAUGUCUCUAUACAAAUUAAAAUGAUACUAUUUGCUCCGCGCGUUAAGAGUUAUGCAUAGUUACGAAGGAAACAAUUCCGCGGUCAAUUUCGGAAUCAAAGUGACAUGGUAUGUACACGAUACGACCUAUCGGGUUCGAUGAUGCCAUUUUUACGCUACAAUCGAUGCAAUCAAGAGCAUUUAAGUUGACCAGAGCGUCGUUGGAAUACCAAACGAUUCCGUUACCUUAUGCCAACCACUAUCCGUUAAAUCGCAAACGUCGAUUCGUAGUAUUCUGGUCGAAAUGGGACAGACAUUAUGCAAUUCACUCACAGAAUUUUUCGAGGUAUUUGGUUUUUAGCAAUCUUCAUGUAGUUUCCGAUUUUUUUAGAGAAAUUCUUGAUAUUUUGUUUCUUUUAUUGCCAUUGGUUAAUUCGUAAUAGAUAGUUCAACUGACCAGAAAUUUACGAUAUCACAACAUUGUCGCACUUUGCGCGCAAUCACCGUUAUUCCCGAUAUAUGGUAACUGAUGUCCUCUCAUAGAGUCGGGAAUGGUAUUCUAAAAGAAAUUCUGUGUCUGCGCCGUUCUAGUCGUAAUUCGACGAAAGUAUGCAUUUCAAAACAACAAAUGUCAUGAAAGAACAGGUGUUAUUACGGUAACAUUUUCCUCUCAUCGAAUUCCAAUUGAAAAUGUCAAAUUUCUUUGCAUGGCGCUUCCACAGGCAUCCUUUCAGAAGUAUAUCCCUAAUAUUUUUUUUCUAAUUUAGCAGCAAUUGCUAGGCUGGAUUAACGAUAGGUAUUAAACUCAUAAAUAAGACCUUUACUACGGUUCACGGUACGGAUAUUGAAUCCCCUGGUAAAACUUCGAGAAAUAUUGACAAUACGUUUUAUGUCUUUUUAUAGUAUUCCAAUGGAUAUAAUGUCCGUCAUUUUUUUCAAUUUAUGUGUCUUUAGGAACACCGGGAGACCAUGAUAUAUUCCAAAGUGAUUUUAUCCCACAUAUUUUUUCGAAUUUAAUUAAGUGAUACUUUACAUGCAUAGAAAUGGUAUUUUACGAUGGCUUAAUAAAAAUUUCCUUUUGGAACCAUGAAAAAGUAGACGUUCUUUUAAUAUCCAUUUCCUUUGGUUAUAUCACGUAAAUAAGUGCCAUCUAUGCUGCAAUUUCAUCGUAAAAGCAAGCCAAACUUUUCAGUUGAGUAUUCGACGAGAGAGUUGAAGAUAGCUUCCGUUAGCGAACACUACCUCCAUCUGGUGGCCGUUACAUACAUUAUUCCCAACGCGAAUCGAUAAAACCCAGAAUCAGCGCGCUCCAUUAUCCCUCCUGGAUAAGAACAAUCGCACCUUUCUCUACCGCAAGGGUAAAAUACCAACGAUAAAACAUGAAUCUGAAUAUCCCACAUGUCUUCCAUGAAAAGUAAGCUUUGAACGCCAUCUGAUACACGCUUGAUCCAGGAAAAACAAGCGAAAUUUUUGCCAGCUUUUUGUUACUGACAUCUACGAAACGACACACUUUAGCAUUUGCUGGCUGUCCGUAAUUUGUCGAAUAACUUUCGAAUUAACCAUGCAAAUUUUUCGCUCGACGUGAUUUGUGUGCUAGUUUUAAAGUUACUCACUCGUACAGCGAUAAUACCUCAAAAUUGCUCCUCGCUAAGUUUACUUACAAAAUUGCUAUCUCGCCAUACAACAGAUUAAACCGACAGAUCUAUAAUCGGCUUAUGUUUGUACCGUGAUAAAAAAGUUUGCUCGUAUAAUCGGUUAGCCAAACGAACGAGGGCGUAAGGUCCUCGCGGCGCCUGUUUCGCUGUGGAUUCGUUUAGUGCCGCAAGAGAAACAAACAGUUGCUUUUUCCGUCGCAGUAAAUUCAUUCGUUUCACGGAUCACUGUGUAGCUAUGCAUAUAUGGCCAGGUGGGAAAAGCACGAAACUACUUUGAAAUGAUGGACGAGAGACUUCAUCG